AUGCCUUACACAUGCAAUGUCGAACGGCAGCGCGGGGCAACCUGGCGGCGAGUGGCGAACGGGUGAGUAAUAUAUCGGAACGUACCCUGGAGUGGGGGAUAACGUAGCGAAAGUUACGCUAAUACCGCAUACGAUCUAAGGAUGAAAGUGGGGGAUCGCAAGACCUCAUGCUCCUGGAGCGGCCGAUAUCUGAUUAGCUAGUUGGUAGGGUAAAAGCCUACCAAGGCAUCGAUCAGUAGCUGGUCUGAGAGGACGACCAGCCACACUGGAACUGAGACACGGUCCAGACUCCUACGGGAGGCAGCAGUGGGGAAUUUUGGACAAUGGGCGCAAGCCUGAUCCAGCAAUGCCGCGUGAGUGAAGAAGGCCUUCGGGUUGUAAAGCUCUUUUGUCAGGGAAGAAACGGACCUUUCUAAUACAGGGGUCUAAUGACGGUACCUGAAGAAUAAGCACCGGCUAACUACGUGCCAGCAGCCGCGGUAAUACGUAGGGUGCAAGCGUUAAUCGGAAUUACUGGGCGUAAAGCGUGCGCAGGCGGUUUUGUAAGUUUGUCGUGAAAUCCCCGGGCUCAACCUGGGAAUGGCGAUGGAGACUGCAAGGCUAGAGUUUGGCAAAGGGGGGUAGAAUUCCACGUGUAGCAGUGAAAUGCGUAGAUAUGUGGAGGAACACCGAUGGCGAAGGCAGCCCCCUGGGUCAAAACUGACGCUCAUGCACGAAAGCGUGGGGAGCA
RNAcentral lists this ribosomal RNA (730 nucleotides) under Zoogloea sp. PL001. Its description in RNAcentral is "bacterial SSU rRNA". It matches the Rfam family "Bacterial small subunit ribosomal RNA", at positions 44 to 770 of the family's 1533-position model. Lineage: Bacteria; Pseudomonadati; Pseudomonadota; Betaproteobacteria; Rhodocyclales; Zoogloeaceae. The record is from RNAcentral.